This is a long non-coding RNA of Terrapene triunguis (Three-toed box turtle), 578 nucleotides long. RefSeq lists it as uncharacterized. The transcript is spliced from 3 exons. NCBI's taxonomy places the organism in Eukaryota, Metazoa, Chordata, Testudines, Emydidae. The record is from RefSeq and is a predicted model, not a curated record.
AGCCACAGCGCAGGGCGCUCCGACCACGCCCCCGAUCCGCCCCCUAUGGGCCCUGGGGGGCAGUGAAUAGCCACAGCGCAGUGCACCCUGGCCAUGCCCGAUUGGGUGGGGUCUUGGGGGGCUGUUUCCUGUUCCUCAGUGGCCUCUAUUCUCCCUCCUCUUGGGACCUUUCCUGCCCUCUCUGUCCACCCCCGAGGAGGCCGUGGGGGGAGUCCAUGGCCCCGGAAAGAUGCCCAGGCCUCUUGGCUUCAGCUUGCGAUUUGAGCUCAGCUGCUGCCCUUAGUCUGGCAGCGGGACAGGCAGAGAGCCAGCCCCCCGCCCCGCAGCGUCCUUGUAGGGCCGGGACAGAGGGCGACGGGCAGAGGGGGGCAGGAGAGAAGGAGACGGGUGACGAGAGGAGAGGAGAGCGCGGCCCAGGCCCAGGACGAUGCAGGCCCUUCUGUUUCAGCCCCGUGUAAACACCGGGAGCAACUCCUGAUUUAAACCCUGGAUCUCCCGCGUGGGAUCCCUCCGCUCCUUCGCCACCUCCGCUCGCCACCAGAUGAAAAACAAAGUCCCCGAACAUCAGAAGCUCUUUC